AUUGAACGCUGGCGGCAGGCCUAACACAUGCAAGUCGAACGGUAGCACAGAGGAGCUUGCUCCUUGGGUGACGAGUGGCGGACGGGUGAGUAAUGUCUGGGAAACUGCCCGAUGGAGGGGGAUAACUACUGGAAACGGUAGCUAAUACCGCAUAACGUCGCAAGACCAAAGAGGGGGACCUUCGGGCCUCUUGCCAUCGGAUGUGCCCAGAUGGGAUUAGCUAGUAGGUGGGGUAACGGCUCACCUAGGCGACGAUCCCUAGCUGGUCUGGGAGGAUGACCAGCCACACUGGAACUGAGACACGGUCCAGACUCCUACGGGCGGCAGCAGUGGGGAAUAUUGCACAAUGGGCGCAAGCCUGAUGCAGCCAUGCCGCGUGUAUGAAGAAGGCCUUCGGGUUGUAAAGUACUUUCAGCGAGGAGGAAGGCGUUGUGGUUAAUAACCGCAGCGAUUGACGUUACUCGCAGAAGAAGCACCGGCUAACUCCGUGCCAGCAGCCGCCGUAA
RNAcentral lists this ribosomal RNA (506 nucleotides) under uncultured bacterium. RNAcentral describes it as "partial 16S ribosomal RNA". It matches the Rfam family "Bacterial small subunit ribosomal RNA", at positions 30 to 523 of the family's 1533-position model. The record is from RNAcentral.